RNAcentral lists this long non-coding RNA (1455 nucleotides) under Canis lupus familiaris (dog). Its description in RNAcentral is "lncRNA (ENSCAFG00040023251.1)". Lineage: Eukaryota; Metazoa; Chordata; Mammalia; Carnivora; Canidae. The record is from RNAcentral.
ACCUUGUGGGCGCCCACGGCACGGGAUAAACGAACAGAAACACUGUUUAUUCCGAGCGGGCUCUCGGGCUGUGCAGCUGACAGUCUGGGAGACCUGCCCCCCGCCCCCCCCCGGGCCCCGGUGCUCCUGCGCCCCCCUCCCCGGGCCCCGGUGCUCCUCCGCCCCCCCCCCCGCCCCCGCGGCGCAGGUGGAGCGCGGCCGGGCGACUCGCUGCUUCGGGCCGGGCUGGGCGGCCGCCCGCGCGCCUGCGCCCUCUGCCGCUCGGCUGGCUCCGGGCGCGUCUCGGUGCGCGCGAGUCGAGGGGAGAGGCUGGGUGACAGCGGGGGGGGAAGAGUUCAGCCCGACUCCGUCUCAGUCACCGAUUUCUCCGCGGCUGGGCCGAAGCUGCCUCUCCGGGCGGCUCCCAACUGCUCCGCGCCGCCGCGGUCCCCACCGGCCGCCGCUCGACUCCGCCGGACGCCGCGACCGACCGACUCGCGAGUGAGUAGCGGCGGCUGGAGCGCCCGGCGGCGCGGCGGGGUGGCCCCCGGCGGGGCGCGCGUGUGUGCGCGUGUGCGAGUGCGAGUGCGAGUGCGGUGCGUGUGCGUGUGCGCGCGGGGAUGCCCCUGGGAUUCCACGGCGGGCCGGGGCGCCCCGGGACCGCGAGUCCCUCCGAGCCGGCGCCGCGGCGUGGGUCGGCGCGCGGAGGGACUCGGCCGGGAUUCCCCGGCCCCGCGCGGCCGCCGGUGGGGUUCCCCGGGAGGCGCCGGGGCGAGGAGGCGGCGGGGAAGCCCGGGCGGGGAGCGGCGGCAGCCCGGGGAUCUGGGCGCGGGUCUCGGCCCCGCAGAGGCGCGGGAGCCGCCGGGGGCCGGUCUCCGUCCCCUCCCCUCCCUUCCCCUCCCUCCCUCCCCUCCCCCCGCCCCCUCCCUCCCCGCCUUUCUCCCCUACCCUUCCUCCUUUCUUCCCUCCGCAGCAUCACAAAAGCGCGAAACGAAACCCAGUGCGGCCAAGUCCGGCUUCGCGCUCCCACCUGGUGCGCAUCGCCCCGGGGCCGGCGGAGCGGAGUGGGAGUCCCCGACCUGGGGGGGGGGGCUGGCCCCGGGGACACACCUGUUUUCGCCUCGCGCUGAAUUCGAGCCGGGGUGCAGGAUCGCGCGAGGGGAUCCGCCACAUGCUCGCCGGCGUGCGUGUGUGUGUGCGCGCGUGCGUGCGUGUGUGUGUGUGUGUGCGCGCACGCUCCCCGGGCCCACGCUCGCGGGGGCGCUUGGUGUAAACACCGGUCCCUGGGCCGCCGUGGCCGGGACCGCCCGGGGGCUGCGAGCGAGCGGCGUGACCGCGAGCCCGCGUCUCUUUGUGUGGCUGUCGCCUCCCCGCCCCGCCGCAGAGCAAACCGAUUUUCGGUUUCGCGUGACACUGCGCGCUGGGACUUGGUGUGGGCCGCAGCCUCAGAUGCCCCCGGUAUUUGAAAUCGAAUAG